AUGCAUGCAAGUUGCCAUAUAUAUCAUCGCCAACCAUAAUAAGAAGCAAAAUCACACUGUACAUUUCACUGCAGAAAAAAGAAAAACAGAGAAAAUAUAUAUGGCUAUUAAGAACUAUGCACGCAGCGUUCACAGCGACGGCAAGCUUGACAUGACUUUGGAAGAGUUCAAGAAGUGGUUUAGGAGAUUUGACGCCGACAGAGACGGCAGAAUAAGCAGAGAAGAGCUCCGGGAAGCCAUCCGUGCCGCCGGCGUGCGCUUCUCCUGGCUCAAAGGCCGGAAGGGGAUGAAGGCGGUUGACGGUAACGGUAACGGCUUCAUUGACGACUGUGAGAUUGACAAGUUGGUGGAGUUUGCGCAGAUGAACUUGAAUAUCCGGAUUGUCACGUAUUAAUACUUGCUCUUUUUUAUGACUGAAAAAAAUUUCAGUCACUUUUCAAAAAUAUGUAUUAGGUAACCUUUAUGUAAGAUUUUCUUGUAUAAUAUAUAAUUGUUAAGGUCAUAAUUAUAUAUAGUUUAAAUUUGACUAAACUUAUGUAUAGUCAUGGACUAUAGUAUGUAAAGUUGAAAGUGGAUGAUUAGUUUGGUUAAAUUUACCUAUAAUCAAGACCAUUUCAAAA
Molecule: long non-coding RNA, 620 nt
Organism: Ipomoea nil (Japanese morning glory)
Lineage: Eukaryota; Viridiplantae; Streptophyta; Magnoliopsida; Solanales; Convolvulaceae
Exons: 2
Source: RefSeq, a predicted model, not a curated record